GAGUAGCAGUACAAAGUUCGCAACAACUUUUCGCGGAUCUGGCAUUUCAGCCCAGACCGGAAAUGAUUUGGGAACAACGCGCUCCAGAUCGGGGAGGCGGCGAAGGGAGGUCACUUUUAAAACCAGAUCCCCCUCCCUUUGCUCUCUUGCCUUCUCCUCCUCGGCAACAACAACAAUGGGGGAACGAAUCCCCAAUCCAAAGAAGAAAAAGAAAAAAAAAGGUCGCGACAGGCAUAUCAUAUACACAUGUAGGCGCACACGGACGGAGCGCCAGAUCUACGGCGAUGUCGGCGGGUCGCUCUCGUCGUCGUCUCCACGGCCUUAGGCGGAGGAGCGGGCGAGGCGGGAUGCGAUGGCGGAGUGGUACAUGGCGUCGUGGAAGGACUCCGUCUGCGCCAUCCGCGCGCGCAGCUCCCGGGCCUUCUCCUCCGUCAGGCCCCCCACGAACGCCCUCCCCGGGGUGGCCGCCGACGCCGCCUCCUUCGCCGCGGGGGCCGGAGCCUCGAUGUAGUCGGCCUUCCCGGACCACCCCAGCAGGGGCGCCCACCACUUGCCGCCGCCCUCCCCGCCACCCGCCGCGGCGCGGGCCACCCCGGCGCCCGCGCUGGCGGCGCGCGGCCGGGCGGAGGAUGCCCCCGCCGGGCGGGCGGGGAAGGAGACGGAGGCGGCGGUUGCGCACGGUGCCAUCGCCAUUUCGGAUCGGUCGGUCGGGCUGUUGCUUGCUUUGGAAUUUGGUGGGUGGGUGCGAGGUGAGGAUGCUGCUGAAGCCUGGGAAAGAAAGAUGAAUGCUGAUGGUGAUGGAGGU
This 805-nucleotide long non-coding RNA is filed under the name Setaria viridis. RNAcentral's name for it is "long non-coding RNA (SVIR_LNC002613)". The record is from RNAcentral. Lineage: Eukaryota; Viridiplantae; Streptophyta; Magnoliopsida; Poales; Poaceae.